Molecule: ribosomal RNA, 376 nt
Filed under: uncultured bacterium
Lineage: Bacteria
Description: bacterial SSU rRNA
Rfam family: Bacterial small subunit ribosomal RNA
Source: RNAcentral
UACGAACCGUCCAAACGUUAUUCGGAAUUACUGGGCUUAAAGGGUUUGUAGGCGGCCUUGUAAGUGGGGUGUGAAAUCCCUCGGCUCAACCGAGGAAUAGCGCUCCAAACUACAUGGCUUGAGGGAGACAGGGGUAAGCGGAACUGAUGGUGGAGCGGUGAAAUGCGUUGAUAUCAUCAGGAACACCGGUGGCGAAAGCGGCUUACUGGGUCUCUUCUGACGCUGAGAAACGAAAGCUAGGGUAGCGAACGGGAUUAGAUACCCCGGUAGUCCUAGCUGUAAACGAUGAGCACUUGGUUGGGGAUCCUCCCAUAGGUUCUCGACCGUAGCGAAAGUGUUAAGUGCUCCGCCUGGGGAGUAUGGUCGCAAGGCUGAA